RNAcentral lists this ribosomal RNA (468 nucleotides) under uncultured bacterium. RNAcentral describes it as "partial 16S ribosomal RNA". It matches the Rfam family "Bacterial small subunit ribosomal RNA", at positions 28 to 507 of the family's 1533-position model. The record is from RNAcentral.
GACGAACGCUGGCGGCGUGCUUAACACAUGCAAGUCGAACGGAAAGGCCCUGCUUUUGUGGGGUGCUCGAGUGGCGAACGGGUGAGUAACACGUGAGUAACCUGCCCUUGACUUUGGGAUAACUUCAGGAAACUGGGGCUAAUACCGGAUAGGAGCUCCUGCUGCAUGGUGGGGGUUGGAAAGUUUCGGCGGUUGGGGAUGGACUCGCGGCUUAUCAGCUUGUUGGUGGGGUAGUGGCUUACAAAGGCUUUGACGGGUAGCCGGCCCGAGAGGGUGACCGGCCACAUUGGGACUGAGAUACGGCCCAGACUCCUACGGGAGGCAGCAGUGGGGAAUAUUGCACAAUGGGCGGAAGCCUGAUGCAGCAACGCCGCGUGCGGGAUGACGGCCUUCGGGUUGUAAACCGCUUUCGCCUGUGACGAAGCGUGAGUGACGGUAAUGGGUAAAGAAGCACCGGCUAACUACGUG